UAAUGUAUAGGAAUCUACCUAGUAGUACGGAAUAAUUGUUGGAAACGGCAACUAAUACCGUAUACGCCCUACGGGGGAAAGAUUUAUCGCUAUUAGAUGAGCCUAUAUUAGAUUAGCUAGUUGGUGAGGUAAAGGCUUACCAAGACAAUGAUCUAUAGCUGAUCUGAGAGGAUGAUCAGUCACACUGGAACUGAGAUACGGUCCAGACUCCUACGGGAGGCAGCAGUGGGGAAUAUUGGACAAUGGGCGAAAGCCUGAUCCAGCCAUGCCGCAUGAGUGAAGAAGGCCUUUGGGUUGUAAAGCUCUUUCGGUGAGGAAGAUAAUGACGGUACUCACAGAAGAAGUCCUGGCUAACUCCGUGCCAGCAGCCGCGGUAAUACGGAGAGGGCUAGCGUUAUUCGGAAUUAUUGGGCGUAAAGAGCGCGUAGGCUGGUUAGUAAGUUAAAAGUGAAAUCCCAAAGCUCAACUUUGGAAUUGCUUUUAAAACUGCUAACCUAGAGAUUGAAAGAGGAUAGAGGAAUUCCUAGUGUAGAGGUGAAAUUCGUAAAUAUUAGGAGGAACACCNGUGGCGAA
This 573-nucleotide ribosomal RNA is filed under the name uncultured Wolbachia sp. RNAcentral's name for it is "bacterial SSU rRNA". It matches the Rfam family "Bacterial small subunit ribosomal RNA", at positions 111 to 719 of the family's 1533-position model. Lineage: Bacteria; Pseudomonadati; Pseudomonadota; Alphaproteobacteria; Rickettsiales; Anaplasmataceae. The record is from RNAcentral.